Molecule: non-coding RNA, 102 nt
Filed under: Bacillus sp. (in: firmicutes)
Lineage: Bacteria; Bacillati; Bacillota; Bacilli; Caryophanales; Bacillaceae
Also listed under: 1 other name
Description: Bacillus sp. TPP sequence
Rfam family: TPP riboswitch aptamer (THI element)
About the family: Vitamin B(1) in its active form thiamin pyrophosphate (TPP) is an essential coenzyme that is synthesised by coupling of pyrimidine and thiazole moieties in bacteria. The previously detected thiamin-regulatory element, thi box was extended, resulting in a new, highly conserved RNA secondary structure, the THI element, which is widely distributed in eubacteria and also occurs in some archaea.
Source: RNAcentral
GGAAGACACUAGGGGAGCCUUUUUUGGCUGAGACGGGAAUAUCCCGGACCCUUUGAACCUGAUCUAGUUCAUACUAGCGUAGGAAAGUGGAGUCCGUGCAUG